This 64-nucleotide transfer RNA is filed under the name Lomis hirta. Its description in RNAcentral is "tRNA-His". It matches the Rfam family "tRNA". Rfam says of the family: Transfer RNA (tRNA) molecules are approximately 80 nucleotides in length. Their secondary structure includes four short double-helical elements and three loops (D, anti-codon, and T loops). Further hydrogen bonds mediate the characteristic L-shaped molecular structure. tRNAs have two regions of fundamental functional importance: the anti-codon, which is responsible for specific mRNA codon recognition, and the 3' end, to which the tRNAs corresponding amino acid is attached (by aminoacyl-tRNA synthetases). tRNAs cope with the degeneracy of the genetic code in two manners: having more than one tRNA (with a specific anti-codon) for a particular amino acid; and 'wobble' base-pairing, i.e. permitting non-standard base-pairing at the 3rd anti-codon position. Lineage: Eukaryota; Metazoa; Arthropoda; Malacostraca; Decapoda; Lomidae. The record is from RNAcentral.
GUUUAAAUAGUUUAAUUAAAAUGCUAGUUUGUGGAGCUAGAGAUAUAAGUUAUUAUUUUAGACU